Molecule: ribosomal RNA, 387 nt
Filed under: uncultured bacterium
Lineage: Bacteria
Description: bacterial SSU rRNA
Rfam family: Bacterial small subunit ribosomal RNA
Source: RNAcentral
UGAGACACCGCGAACGGGUGAGUAACGCGUGGGCAACCUACCCCAGAGAUUGGGAUAACUUUUCGAAAGGGAAGCUUAAUACCGGAUACCUUUGCUUUUAUGCAUGUAUUAGUAAAGAAAGUCUUCGGGCGCUUUGGGAUGGGCCCGCGUUCCAUUAGCUUGUUGGUAAGGUAACGGCUUACCAAGGCUACGAUGGAUAGCCGGCCUGAGAGGGUGCGGCCACACUGGGACUGAGAUACGGCCCAGACUCCUACGGGAGGCAGCAGUGGGGAAUAUUGCGCAAUGGGCGAAAGCCUGACGCAGCAACGCCGUGUGGACGAAGAAGGCCUUCGGGUUGUAAAGUCCUGUCACAGGGGACGAAGCCCUAACUUGUUUAGGGUGACGGUA